RNAcentral lists this ribosomal RNA (730 nucleotides) under uncultured bacterium. RNAcentral describes it as "bacterial SSU rRNA". It matches the Rfam family "Bacterial small subunit ribosomal RNA", at positions 771 to 1501 of the family's 1533-position model. The record is from RNAcentral.
AACAGGAUUAGAUACCCUGGUAGUCCACGCCGUAAACGAUGUCGACUCGGAGGUUGUGCCCUUGAGGCGUGGCUUCCGGAGCUAACGCGUUAAGUCGACCGCCUGGGGAGUACGGCCGCAAGGUUAAAACCCAAAUGAAUUGACGGGGGCCCGCACAAGCGGUGGAGCAUGUGGUUUAAUUCGAUGCAACGCGAAGAACCUUACCUACUCUUGACAUCCAGAGAACUUAGCAGAGAUGCUUUGGUGCCUUCGGGAACUCUGAGACAGGUGCUGCAUGGCUGUCGUCAGCUCGUGUUGUGAAAUGUUGGGUUAAGUCCCGCAACGAGCGCAACCCUUAUCCUUUGUUGCCAGCGGUCCGGCCGGGAACCCAAAGGAGACUGCCAGUGAUAAACUGGAGGAAGGUGGGGAUGACGUCAAGUCAUCAUGGCCCUUACGAGUAGGGCUACACACGUGCUACAAUGGCGCAUACAAAGAGAAGCGACCUCGCGAGAGCAAGCGGACCUCAUAAAGUGCGUCGUAGUCCGGAUUGGAGUCUGCAACUCGACUCCAUGAAGUCGGAAUCGCUAGUAAUCGUGGAUCAGAAUGCCACGGUGAAUACGUUCCCGGGCCUUGUACACACCGCCCGUCACACCAUGGGAGUGGGUUGCAAAAGAAGUAGGUAGCUUAACCUUCGGGAGGGCGCUUACCACUUUGUGAUUCAUGACUGGGGUGAAGUCGUAACAAGGUAACC